GCCUCCAGUGUGAGCCCAUCUUCAGAAUCCACACCAUGGGGUCCGCACUCCUUUGGGCUUCCGUUCUCAUUGCUGUCAAUGGUGCCUUGUGCCAAGUUCAGCUAAUGGAGUCUGGGGGAGGCUUGGUGCAACCUGGAGGAUCUCUGACCCUCUCCUGCAAAGCCUCUGGAUUUACCUUCACUGACUACAACAUGAACUGGGUCCGCCAGGCUGCAGGGAAGGGGCUGGAGUGGGUGGCAGAAGUGAGCAGUCCAUCUGGAUCAAACCAGUGGUACGCUCCAUCAGUUCAAGGAAGAUUCACAAUCUCCAGAGACAACCCGACCAACACAGUUUCUCUCAAAAUGACCAACCUGAAACCUGAAGACACAGCCAUGUAUUACUGUGCUAGACACACAGUUAAAAUUUAG
This is a non-coding RNA of Pteronotus mesoamericanus, 407 nucleotides long. The record is from the annotation of a RefSeq genome assembly. NCBI's taxonomy places the organism in Eukaryota, Metazoa, Chordata, Mammalia, Chiroptera, Mormoopidae.